Molecule: non-coding RNA, 1062 nt
Organism: Sesamum indicum (sesame)
Lineage: Eukaryota; Viridiplantae; Streptophyta; Magnoliopsida; Lamiales; Pedaliaceae
Source: RefSeq, a predicted model, not a curated record
UCUCUCUCUCUCUCUCUCUCUCUCUCUCUCUCGCGUGUGCGCGCACGUUGCAGAUCGAAUCCCUAGUUUCCCCAACUCGUCUUCUUCUCUCUUCUCAGUUUCUUGCUCUGCCAUCCCCUUCCCUCUCCAACUUAAAUGUCUUCCUCUUUAUUUAAGUUGUCAGUUUUUCUAGCGAAAGGAAGUAGAACGAGAAUAAGAAAUCUUCUGUCUUGCUCCAAUUAAAAGUUUUCUGUGAACUUAAUUCCUAAGUAGAAAUCUGUUUUAGUGGUGUUUCUAAGUGGUUCUCUGUGAGUGAGAAACUUGAGUGGUUUUGUGGUCUAUGUGACAGGCCUUGAUGGCGGUUUGAGUGAUUAAAGCCUUGGUGGCUAUUUUGAGUAUUUAGCAACCGGUGUGUUGUUGCCGGCCUUGGUAGUUGUGGGCUAUCCUACCUGAUCUAGCUCCUUGAGCCAUUAACCUUUUAUUCUAUUUUUGUUCUUGAGUCACUGUUAAAAUAUUAUUCUAUCAUUAUAUUUGUUAUCAUUUAUAUAUUAUUAGAUCUGUAAUAUUGGUUAAUAUUAUGUUAAUAUUUCUUGUGAUAUUUCUGUAUUAUUGAUUCAGUAACAUUAAUUGUAUUAAGAGUUUUCUUGACCCCGAUUCAUUUGUAAUAGUUGAGCUAGAGUUUACGUUUCUUGGGGCUCACUACUGAAGGAUUUAAGCCCAACAAUGGUAUCAAAUCUUUUGAGUUCUGUCUCCAAUGCCGAGUGUUGUACAUCGUCUUCAAAAGUGUUGCUACUUGGUUGUUCAAGGUGUGCUGUUGUGCUGCUGCUUGCUGCAGAACUUGCUACAAGCCCCCUCAAGAUGGAGUUGAGGAAGAGAGGCCAUACUUGAACAGAAAUCGCGCAAAAUCAGCAGUAGAAAGAGACUUGGUGAAUAGAUCUGCAAUUUGAUCAGACCCAGAAAUGUGAGCUGGUGAGAUAAAGCCAAGCUUGAACUAAUCGCGAACCAAAUGGCAAUCAAUGUCAAGAUGUUUGGUGCGCUCGUGGAACACGGGAUUCACGGUGAUUUGCAAAGCGGCUUUGUUGU